This is an RNA transcript of Triticum aestivum (bread wheat), 3851 nucleotides long. It is a transcript of the gene named O-fucosyltransferase 9, with no coding region annotated. The transcript is spliced from 8 exons. The record is from RefSeq and is a predicted model, not a curated record. Lineage: Eukaryota; Viridiplantae; Streptophyta; Magnoliopsida; Poales; Poaceae.
UCCGCAGCCAAUUCGCCUCGUCCCACUCCCGCACCAGCCAUCACACAAACCCUAGCCUUGUUUUCCCUCGAUCCCCACAGCCUCCCGCUCCCCUCCUCCAUCCCCCUCCUUGCGUCACCACGGCCUCCGCUCUGGAGCCCCGCCGCCGCCUCUCCUCCACCACCUCCUCGCGUCGCCACGGCCUCCGCCCCGGAGUCCCACCGCCGCCUGCUAUUCCUCCUCCACCAUGCUAGCCCCUCUACCUCGUCUUCCUUCUCUUCGUUGUUGGUUCCAGAUCGAGCGCGGGUUAGGCGAGCCCGGUGGUGGGGUGAAGGGGCAGGGGAAGAGGAGGUGGGCAACUAGGUGAAGGAGCAGGUCGGCCCUCCUGGAGGCAGCGCCGCCGCCCAGCCAGGGAGGAGGCCAGACUCUCCUCUAGGCUCGCCUCUGUUUUGCCCUGAGCGGCGGCAGCGCCUAUGCCUCCACCCCACCUUCUUUUCCAUGCCUCUUCCAUGGCAUGGCAGGAAGAUUUUGGGGAUGGGGAGACCCCAUGAAUAAUAAUUCAAGUGGACGGACGAUGCGCCUUGUUGUUUAGCGGUAUGAUCUAUGAUGGUCGGCGAAAGUAUGUUCUAUAUUGCAAGGUGAUGGGCUGCUGAUUUUUGUAGCCCACUUCUGCUAAUUUCUAUCGACUUCUACUUAAUCUGAUAUCUGUUGUGUAAGUAAUGCACUAAUUCAGUUCAUGACACCAAGUUGGAGCUGUACAAAGUGCUGCUAAAUUAAGGUUCCUGGUUACAACACGCACAAUUUGGUGUCCUGAUAUCCUUUGUGUAUCCUCUUGAAGGAGCAUUGGGUGAGAUUGUUGUUGUGACAAGAAUUGGUACUAGGCUGGGUGAUACAACAAUGGAUUUCAUCCAAGGAAUAACCAAAUGGCGCAGAGACCCGCUAAAGACAUCUCCAGUUGUUGAAUCAACUAUUGUCCCAUGUUGUUUGGAUCAUCUAUCGUGCCGCACUGUCUAGCUGAAAUGGACAAAUGACUUAGGAACGACAUAUAAUCGAUUUUUGCUCUUUUUAUCCCUUGAAAGGUGAUAUGCAACAUUAUGAAUUUGCUUCCAUUUGCAGGGCUAGGUGUCCUCCCUCCUCUUGGUGACAUAUAAGAGGACCUGCACACUGAACCGGGAAGUCCUUUUUUAGGCAGUGGUCAUGGAGCAACAAUAUAUGCUGCGUGGCAUUGCAGGUUAUUUUCCGCCCCGGUCGAUCCAGGCACGGCAUCGGAUGGGAGAGAGCAGGGGAGGGCCAAGAGGCCAGCGGUGUGGGGUGGAGUAGCGAGGCCGAACACCGGGCAGCGGACGCCUCACAGGGUGGAGGAGAGGCCGGCGAUAGGGAAAAGCAACAUCUUCAUGGAUGAGAUCCUGACGGCUGAAGAUGGUGUGCACGGGAGGAGCUUGGAAGAUGUCAAGGGCGCCACGAGGAGUGGAGUAAGCUAAAUACCUGACUGGCUGGAUCAUUUUUGGGCUCUUUACAGAUUUGCCGACUUCAAAUGGGUAUCUCAUAGUUGAAGCAAAUGGUGGUCUGAAUCAACAGCGUCUUUCUGUAAGUUCUUGGACCACGUUAGAUACAGCAAGCAAGCAAUACAUUGCUAUUACCUAUACAAAAGUCCAGUGCCAUAUGAAUCCAUUGACACCACUAUGUAACUUGAAGUCAUGUACUAUCACUUUGAUUGAGACGGCUUUCAUCAAUAACUUUGUGCUGGAAAGGCAUUAGUACUAUCUUUGUACAUACAUAGUUGUAUUAUUCAUCGAAAGAUCACCGAUAUUUGCUUUCAUCUUUUUGGUCACAUGCCAUCAGAUCUUCUAUUGAGAGAUAUAUUUCUUCUGACCUGAGAGCUUGAGAAUUAGACUCUGGUCUCUACCAUUUGCUGUGAUGUUGAUGUCUCAUUUUGUAUAGUCCUUAGAACCUUCACACUAUGCCGAGUAAUAAUUAUUGACAGUGCAGUUCCAUUUUUUUCUCAAUAUAGAUCUGCGAUGCAGUUGUUGUGGCCAGCUUGCUUAAUGCAACUCUUGUGAUCCAAAUAUUUCAUUUGAAUAGCAUUUGGCGCGAUCCUAGCAAAUUUAGUGAUAGUUUUGAUGAAGAUCGUUUUAUCGGGACACUCAGACAACAUGUAAGAGUUGUGAAGGAACUCCCAAAAGAUGUUCUGCUGCAUUUCAAUCAUAAUAUAAGCAGCAUACAAAAUAUGCGAACUAAAGCCUACUCAUCCCCAGAUCAAUUAUUUGUUACACAUCGAGGUAGAUAACAAACAAUAGAAAUCAGGAAGUGUUGUUUGUUAUCUACUUCGAUAUCGUACUGAUUUCUAUUUUUUCACAAUUGCAGGCGCCAUAUUAGUGUUUCUUAUUAUCUACCUUGAUGCCAUACUAAUUUCUCUGAUUCCAAAAUUGCUGGCACCACUUCCUGGUGCCUGUUGGUGCAAGGACCCAUGCCUUCCAUCUGAGAAAUGUAAAGGAUGGAUCAAUUGACAUAGUCAGCUCAUGUUUAGUUCUUUGUCUCUCAGACGGCAUGCAUCUCUCAACACAAUCCUAGGUUAAUGAACUGCUAAAGCUACAAUGUAGAUGCAUUGUGACUUUAUUUUCUAGGUACUAACUUCAGAUGUCCAAUUUGUUACCUGUGCCAAUGUAUCCUCAGGAUAUUUACUUUAGAUAAACAAUCUGCUGCAUACUAAUGUAUAAUUUUACACAAGCUAUCCUCGAUGUUUGUUUCGCUUUGUCAUUCCCAACAUCACAUAGUAAUGCUUGCAGCUUCUUUGGGAAGGUGGAACUAAUACAUACAUUCAACUUACUCAAGUUCGAAAACUGCUCCUCUUGACCCGUUUCAGCUUUGUGGGUGAGUGAAUGCAUGAUGAUGGAAGCUUGGUGUUCUCAUAAUACAAGGGAAGGAGCUGCUGAGCUAACUCUCAUGUACUUCACAUGAGCUGAAAGAGGUUGGUAUGAUGCUGCGAGGCAUGGGGUUUGACAAUACAACCUUCCUCUAUCUUGCCUUCGGUAAAAUAUACAAUGCUACAAAAUACAUGGCUCCCCUUCGCCAGAUGUUCCCUCUUUUACAAACCAAGGACACUCUUGCAUUGUCUGAAGAGCUUGCUGAGUUUGAGGGGUACUCUUCUCAGUUAGUAGCACUAGAUUACACCGUCUGUGUUCAGAGCGAAGUGUUUGUGACAACUCAAGGGUGGAACUUCCCUCACUUUUUGAUGGGACACAGGUGUUACCUAUUAGGAGGGAAUGCAAAGGCAAUAAAACCCGACAAACGGAAGCUGGUCUUAUCUUUUGACGACCCAAAUAUUAGGUCAAUUUGAGCUGCCAUUAUAUCGUCAACAAAGAACCUAAUGAUUCCAUAUACACCUUCCCAAUGCAUGAUUGCAUGUGCCAACAAGAUGGAAUAUGAUCUAGGCGUUAGCAUACAUAAUUGAGCGAUGCAUAUCCUCUGCCUUUGUGCAACAAAGGCACCAAAGGCACGACAUUGUUGACUGCAUGAUCAGGAUUUGAUGGUCAUGAUGAAAACUGGAGUGAAAUAAAGCAUUUGGUGCUUCUCAGGAGAUUCUAAAACCCUCUGGCAUACCCCAAACCGUUCGAUUCUGGAUAUAAUGGUGAAAAGGUGCCUAAUGACAAUGAAUUCCAUAGGAUCAGAAAUUGAGAGGAUGUGAGGGAUUUUGUAAAGUUAGUAAUCUGUAGGUAGUCCACCAUAUAGCAAUCUCCAUUUGUUCAAUCUGUCUGUAGGUUGUUAAAGAAAAGAGCUACGAUAUUGGGUUGUAGAUAUGAGUACAACCUGAGUGCCUCAAUGUAUAUUAAAAAACAAGGGCUAACAACAACAAAGAAAGGAAUUUUUCAGUA